CAGAGGUCUCAAGCGUUGUUCGGAUUCAUUGGGCGUAAAGGGUGCGUAGGCGGCGCGGUAAGUCGGGUGUGAAAUCUCGGGGCUUAACUCCGAAACUGCAUUCGAUACUGCCGUGCUUGAGGACUGGAGAGGAGACUGGAAUUUACGGUGUAGCGGUGAAAUGCGUAGAUAUCGUAAGGAAGACCAGUGGCGAAGGCGGGUCUCUGGACAGUUCCUGACGCUGAGGCACGAAGGUCAGGGGAGCAAACGGGAUUAGAUACCCCGGUAGUCCUGACAGUAAACGGUGCACGUUUGGUGUGGGAGGAUUCGACCCCUUCUGCGCCGGAGCUAACGCGUUAAACGUGCCGCCUGGGGAGUACGGUCGCAAGAUUA
This 372-nucleotide ribosomal RNA is filed under the name uncultured organism. Its description in RNAcentral is "bacterial SSU rRNA". It matches the Rfam family "Bacterial small subunit ribosomal RNA", at positions 526 to 896 of the family's 1533-position model. The record is from RNAcentral.